This is a long non-coding RNA of Equus asinus (donkey), 2660 nucleotides long. The record is from Ensembl. Lineage: Eukaryota; Metazoa; Chordata; Mammalia; Perissodactyla; Equidae.
UAUACAUAUUAUAAAAUGCAUAAAAAUAAGUAAACAUAUUGCAGGUGCCUGCUCAAAACUCUUCUGAUAGGGUUCUAAGAAGAAAUACUGUGAAACCCAGCAGAUUGGUGAACCCUGUGCCUCCAUCACCUGUGCUUUCUCUGGACUGGGAUAUGUCAUUUCAACCUGACAUGAAGUUGUGGGUAGAAAUUCUUUGGAAUGCCACACCUAUGUUAAAGAGUUGAAAGUGUGAGUUUUGUUUUGGUCGAAAGAUCCUUCCUUUUCACCAUGAGGGAAUAGCAUGAGAUUUACACACAUAAAAUUUUUUUGACAUAUAAAUUCACCCAAGACAUCCGCAGUGUGUGAAACUGUCUGUCCGAAGCACUGAGUGGGUGCCAUGGGCCUCUCUUUCAAGCUUGUUCUGGGCCAUCAAGAUGGAGCAAGUGCCUGCAAGUCACCCCAUUGGAGCCCUGGAUUCACAGAGACUCUGUGCCCAGCUCACUCUGUGUCUCCCUCCUCCCUCUAACUCACUCAUCUCCCUGCAGCGGCUGCCUGGGUCCUGGACAAAUGGCCUGUCCAGGGUGGUAGGAGUGGCAGCGGAGACUCCAUGCUCCAGGGGGUCUGAGAGACAAGGAGGGGCUUGGACUUCACGCAGGUUUAGCCCCACCCACUGGCGGAGGAGCUACAACUCACAUGACUCUCAUGGCCUCCGGUUCCUCCUCUUCUUUGUGAAAAGGAGAAAAAAUAAUGGUUUUUAGUAUAGGCUAUACUCAGAUCUGACUCUACUCUUUACCAGCUCUGACCCUUGGGCAUGUACCUUUCCUUCUUUGGGCUUCAUGCCUCCUCACAGUGUUCUGAGAUGCAAUUCAGAAAAUGCGACCUCUGAGAGUAAGCGCAAACCCAUCUUGCUAUAUGGAGGCAAGUGUUCUUCUUCAGUGCAUGGGACUGUGUUGAUUUGGACUACUGAUCCAGUGCCCUUGAAGAACGUGACUCUGGAACCAGAGUUUUGGGUUGGAUCCCAGCUCUGCUAUUUAAUAGUAGUGUGACCUUGCAAAUAACAUUAACACCACUGUCACUGAAGUCAUCAGUUCCUAGCACCAGGCCUUCUCAGAAACAGUGCUCUCAUAGCAAGGAAGCAAGGGCUUCAGAACCUGGGACCCACCUCCUAACCUGCUUUGUCUUCCAUAUGAAAUAAGCAACACUGGCUGGGCAACGGGUCUCACCCCCUAGGUGACGGCGUGACGCGUAGUGGAAGAAUUCUGGGUUGUUUGGGAGGUGGAACUUUUGGGUCUUGACUUUGGAUACUUGUUAACUUCCCUCACUUUCAGACUCUUCCUUUGAAGGAGCACCCAGCCAACCGGCUUCACGGGGUUGUUGUGAUGGUCACUGUGGAUGGAGGUACUUUGUAAAUGGCACAGCGCUGUACAGGCAUAGACCAUAAUAUUAUUGUCACUGACCCUGUGACCUUGAAUACUAACUCCUGGGCUCUGAGAGGCUAAUUUUGAGGUUGUCUAUUCCAAAUAAAACAUUCUACUCAGCCUCCUACAACGUCUUUUUGUUUCUGCCUUUCACCGAGGUAAACCAGAUACCCAUUUUCUCUUGGAGAAAGCUCUCCUGGAGCUUUCCUGAAAGGCUCUCCUGGAGCUUGGAGCUCUCCUCAGAGGCCCUGGGGUAGUGCAGGAGCAACAUUCUCUUCUGGAAAGGCACCUGCAAAGGCUCCUUUUUGAGGGGAGCUUUAUGUGGGUGGCUCUGAGAAGGAGACAAAAUGUGGCCUGGUGAAUCACUCGCAGAAAGAAUUACGGAGGCCCAAGGAAGGACCUAGAGCAGAAGCAUCUUGAAAACACCCAGGACAUACGUAUGGGCAAGAAGACGUGGAAGAUCUGUCCUGUGGGAAUUGUUGCUCGCUUUGGGAACAUAGCUACUAAACCCCAGAAAUCUCGCUCCUUCAUCAUCUCGGGAAUAUAAUCGGAAUUCCUCUCAUGAGCUUUCUUUUCCUCACCCAGGUCCUUGACUAUUUCUAGACGGCCAUAUUAGUGGUUUUGGGUGCACCGGAGGUGAGGCCACUGUGUGAGGUCCUUGAACACAAAGCACUGUUUGACAAGCGACAUCCAAUCCUAACAUCUUCCUCAGCCCACUGUCUGCUCCUCACCUCCCCAUGUUUCAGGGGCUGAUCCCAUGGCCAUGCCUGUGAAGGGUUGGUGGCCCUCGAUCACCAGAUUAUGGAAGAGGAGCCUGCUCUGAGAUCGGCGUGGUCUGGCUCAAGAGUGCAUGCUCCCAGCCUUGACCUCAGCCUGUGGGUCACGUGUCUCUGAGAGCCCAGGGAACCGCUGCUAUAUUUGGGCAUUUGUACUUCCUUACAUCGCAUCCACUACCAUAUUUGGCCUUGUUCUAUGUACUAGAUGUGGACAAGUAUCACUAUCUCCAUUUAAAGAAAGCUUGAUUGAGGUAUAAUUGACAUGCAGUAAACCACACAUGUUUAAAGCAUGCAGUUUGAUAAGUUUGGACAUGUGUAUACACCUGUGCACCAUUCCCACAUGAACAUAUCCACCAUCCCUCAAAGUCUCCUCCUGUCCUUUAUAAUCCCACCUUUCCCUGCGCUGGCCCCUUCUGCAUUUUAUGAAAGAGCAAGCCGAGUUUUCUGGGCAGCUGGAGCAAGAAUACAGAUGGCCUGACUCUUCCCU